UACGUAGGGUGCAAGCGUUAUCCGGAAUUAUUGGGCGUAAAGAGCUCGUAGGCGGUUUGUCGCGUCUGCUGUGAAAACUGGGGGCUCAACCCCCAGCCUGCAGUGGGUACGGGCAGACUAGAGUGCGGUAGGGGGAGAUUGGAAUUCCUGGUGUAGCGGUGGAAUGCGCAGAUAUCAGGAGGAACACCGAUGGCGAAGGCAGAUCUCUGGGCCGUAACUGACGCUGAGGAGACGAAAGCAUGGGGAGCGAACAGG
This 255-nucleotide ribosomal RNA is filed under the name uncultured bacterium. RNAcentral describes it as "partial 16S ribosomal RNA". It matches the Rfam family "Bacterial small subunit ribosomal RNA", at positions 524 to 776 of the family's 1533-position model. The record is from RNAcentral.